RNAcentral lists this ribosomal RNA (730 nucleotides) under uncultured Staphylococcus sp. RNAcentral's name for it is "bacterial SSU rRNA". It matches the Rfam family "Bacterial small subunit ribosomal RNA", at positions 78 to 795 of the family's 1533-position model. Lineage: Bacteria; Bacillati; Bacillota; Bacilli; Caryophanales; Staphylococcaceae. The record is from RNAcentral.
UUGCUUCUCUGAUGUUAGCGGCGGACGGGUGAGUAACACGUGGAUAACCUACCUAUAAGACUGGGAUAACUUCGGGAAACCGGAGCUAAUACCGGAUAAUAUUUUGAACCGCAUGGUUCAAAAGUGAAAGACGGUCUUGCUGUCACUUAUAGAUGGAUCCGCGCUGCAUUAGCUAGUUGGUAAGGUAACGGCUUACCAAGGCAACGAUGCAUAGCCGACCUGAGAGGGUGAUCGGCCACACUGGAACUGAGACACGGUCCAGACUCCUACGGGAGGCAGCAGUAGGGAAUCUUCCGCAAUGGGCGAAAGCCUGACGGAGCAACGCCGCGUGAGUGAUGAAGGUCUUCGGAUCGUAAAACUCUGUUAUUAGGGAAGAACAUAUGUGUAAGUAACUGUGCACAUCUUGACGGUACCUAAUCAGAAAGCCACGGCUAACUACGUGCCAGCAGCCGCGGUAAUACGUAGGUGGCAAGCGUUAUCCGGAAUUAUUGGGCGUAAAGCGCGCGUAGGCGGUUUUUUAAGUCUGAUGUGAAAGCCCACGGCUCAACCGUGGAGGGUCAUUGGAAACUGGAAAACUUGAGUGCAGAAGAGGAAAGUGGAAUUCCAUGUGUAGCGGUGAAAUGCGCAGAGAUAUGGAGGAACACCAGUGGCGAAGGCGACUUUCUGGUCUGUAACUGACGCUGAUGUGCGAAAGCGUGGGGAUCAAACAGGAUUAGAUACCCUGGUAGUC